This 534-nucleotide long non-coding RNA is filed under the name Elaeis guineensis (African oil palm). RNAcentral's name for it is "long non-coding RNA (EGUI_LNC028558)". Lineage: Eukaryota; Viridiplantae; Streptophyta; Magnoliopsida; Arecales; Arecaceae. The record is from RNAcentral.
UAAGUUUCUUGCUUUCAAAUGUUUUAUUUUUUACUUUUUAACAUUAUUCCCGCUACUAUGAUUCUUGCCCGAGGAUGAGCAUUUGAUUUUUUUCCACCCCACGUUUCCAACAUUUCAUUGCAGUUUUUGUUGGUUUUUUUUUUUUUUUUCAAUGGAUUAAACGAUCCAUGUGAAGUGCUUGUUAUCUUGAAUGUUUAAUCAUUUGAAUUUGAGGAAAAGAUUUGAUCUUUUUCAUCACUCUCUUCCACCUAGACGUUCUGUUCUUUAGAAUCUAUUCUUUUGCCCCUUGCCGGGGUCUAUCCUGUCAGAGACCACUGAAUUUGUUUGCAGGAAUCUAUCUCCUAUAAUAAAUUAAUAAUUUUCUCCAUGAAAUUUGGAGAUUACACGGAGUGAACAGCAAAACUUGAUUAUUUUAAAUUCUUUUAUGUAGGGUUUGAGCCAAUCAUUUAAAAUCUUGUUUCUAUAUGCAUGUUCGUACUGCUGAUAUAGUAGAAUUGGUUCACUGGAGUCCCUUUAAAUAGAGGAAGCUAAUAU